Molecule: ribosomal RNA, 253 nt
Filed under: uncultured bacterium
Lineage: Bacteria
Description: partial 16S ribosomal RNA
Rfam family: Bacterial small subunit ribosomal RNA
Source: RNAcentral
CACGUAGGGCGCGAGCGUUGUCCGGAAUUAUUGGGCGUAAAGAGCUCGUAGGCGGCCUGUUGCGUCCGCUGUGAAAGCCCGGGGCUUAACCCCGGGUCUGCAGUCGAUACGGGCAGGCUAGAGUUCGGUAGGGGAGAUCGGAAUUCCUGGUGUAGCGGUGAAAUGCGCAGAUAUCAGGAGGAACACCGGUGGCGAAGGCGGAUCUCUGGGCCGAUACUGACGCUGAGGAGCGAAAGCGUGGGGAGCGAACAGG